This 505-nucleotide ribosomal RNA is filed under the name uncultured bacterium. RNAcentral describes it as "partial 16S ribosomal RNA". It matches the Rfam family "Bacterial small subunit ribosomal RNA", at positions 28 to 507 of the family's 1533-position model. The record is from RNAcentral.
GACGAACGCUGGCGGCGUGCCUAAUACAUGCAAGUAGAACGCACAGUUUAUACCGUAGCUUGCUACACCAUAAACUGUGAGUUGCGAACGGGUGAGUAACGCGUAGGUAACCUGCCUGGUAGCGGGGGAUAACUAUUGGAAACGAUAGCUAAUACCGCAUAAUAUUAAUUAUUGCAUGAUAAUUGAUUGAAAGAUGCAAUUGCAUCACUACCAGAUGGACCUGCGUUGUAUUAGCUAGUAGGUGAGGUAACGGCUCACCUAGGCGACGAUACAUAGCCGACCUGAGAGGGUGGUCGGCCACACUGGGACUGGGACACGGCCCAGACUCCUACGGGAGGCAGCAGUAGGGAAUCUUCGGCAAUGGACGAAAGUCUGACCGAGCAACGCCGCGUGAGUGAAGAAGGUUUUCGGAUCGUAAAGCUCUGUUGUAAGAGAAGAACGGGUGUGAGAGUGGAAAGUUCACACUGUGACGGUAUCUUACCAGAAAGGGACGGCUAACUACGUG